AUUGAACGCUGGCGGCAGGCCUAACACAUGCAAGUCGAGCGGUAACAGGGAUAGCUUGCUAUCUGCUGACGAGCGGCGGACGGGUGCGUAACGCGUAGGAAUUUGCCCGAUAGUGGGGGAUAGCCCGGAGAAAUUCGGAUUAAUACCGCAUACCUUCUACGGAAGAAAGCAGGGGAUCUUCGGACCUUGCGCUAUCGGAUGAGCCUGCGUCGGAUUAGCUAGUUGGUGGGGUAAAUGCCUACCAAGGCGACGAUCCGUAGCUGGUCUGAGAGGAUGAUCAGCCACACUGGGACUGAGACACGGCCCAGACUCCUACGGGAGGCAGCAGUGGGGAAUAUUGCACAAUGGGCGCAAGCCUGAUGCAGCCAUGCCGCGUGUGUGAAGAAGGCCCUAGGGUUGUAAAGCACUUUCAGCGAGGAGGAAGGGUAUCUUGCUAAUAUCAAGAUGCAUUGACGUUACUCGCAGAAGAAGCACCGGCUAACUCCGUGCCAGCAGCCGCGGUAAUA
RNAcentral lists this ribosomal RNA (506 nucleotides) under uncultured bacterium. RNAcentral's name for it is "bacterial SSU rRNA". It matches the Rfam family "Bacterial small subunit ribosomal RNA", at positions 30 to 525 of the family's 1533-position model. The record is from RNAcentral.